This is a long non-coding RNA of Cannabis sativa, 3714 nucleotides long. RefSeq lists it as uncharacterized. The transcript is spliced from 3 exons. Lineage: Eukaryota; Viridiplantae; Streptophyta; Magnoliopsida; Rosales; Cannabaceae. The record is from RefSeq and is a predicted model, not a curated record.
GUACCAAUAAUAAAUAAGGUGUUCUGUUCUGUGGCUUUAUAUACAUACAUAAAGAGUAUAAGACUACUUCAUGUGUGAUUUGAUCUCGUUACACUCGGUUAUAAGACUCGUUCUUUCUUAUUAUAUUUUAUUUUUGGAAAAAGAGGAAAUAUAAUAAUAUUAAAUUAAAAAGAGUACGAAGGUACGCGGAUAUGUACGUACGGACACCACUCCCAAUUCGUUAAUUAAAGUCUAAGCACCACAAUACUUAAUGCGAAACCCUCCCAUCCUCUUUCCUAACACUAACAGCCAACCCUAAUCCAGUCCGAUUGACUCUCUCUCCCAGACGCAACCAUUCUCAAGCUCCGGUGGACGAAUCAGGCAAACACUGCUUUGCUCCGGAGGUAAAAUGUGACCAAAGACCAAGAGAAAGAAAACCCUAAGCCGCCUCUGUGCACGUCUGCACAAUACGGAACCCUAAGCCGUCGCCGCUCCAGUUGUCUUCUCGGGCCAAUCCUCGUCUCCGGUUCUCUAUCCUUGCCCGUUCUCGAUGUUUCCAGGAGGGUUAUUGCUCCCUCGUUCUCAGCCGUGGACGGACCUCUGUCAAGUCCGAUGAUGGCGUCGCUCCCUUAGCCACGGACGGAUCUCCAUUCCCCACGGAGCCUCCCUCGGCCAAGCCCUGUUUGGGUCCAAACGGGUGCUGGGAUCUCUUGCUGGGAUGCGGGAUUGGGAGGGUUUCUGCAGAAAAAAGAAGAAGAAAGAAGAAAUAAGAAAGAAGAAGAAGAAGAAGAAGAAGAAGAAGAAGAAAAAGAAAGAAAAAAAAAGUAAAAAAAAAUUAAUUUUUUAAUUUUUUUAAAUUAAAAAAAGUAAAUAAAAAAAUUAAAAAAUUCUAAUUUUUUUAAUUUUUUUAAAUAUUUAUAAUUAUUUUUUAAAACUAAUAUUAUGUGGACCACUAAAAACUCGCCACGUGUACAAGUGUGUACACGUGGACAGUCAAACGUGGCACUUAACUGAGAUUUUUGGACGGAGGUAUACAGAGCAAAACGGAACCAGAGUUUAGGAAGGUUAGCCGCCAAAAAUUUAGUUUUUGUGGUUAAGUGUUACAAACUGUAAAGUUCGGGUGGUUUAGCCGCCAAUAUCCUUUUUUUUUUUAAAUGGUGGUGCAAAUAUUACAGUUAUUUAAGAUAUCUUAUAAAAUUUUAAGAAAUUUAAAAUAAUAUUUUAAUUUUUUAAAAUUUUGUAAGAUAUUUUAAAUUACUAUAGCGUAAAAAAUUUAGAUUAAAAUAUUUUUCUAAUUGUCAAAAUAAAUUAAAAAUGCAUUUGUAUAUACAUUUUAGAGUAGUGGACCAUACAAUUUUCCAUUAUUAUAAUAGAGAGUUAUUUUUAUAAUCUUACUUCAAUUAUGCUUUUUAAAAUUAAUUAUUAUACUCUUUCGAAAAAAAAUUGAUUAUUAUAACAAUUUUACAAGAAGACUUAUUAUCUAUUUUAAUUAAGAAGUGUCUUUAGGUAAUAUGGGUGGAGAUGCUAUAUAUUAGAUUAUCAUUACUCAAUUAUACCAAUCGAUGUAAUUUAGGUCAUUGCUACCGCUUUAUGCUCUGUUAGGGUUACCGUAAUCCUUAUUGUCGUUGUUGCUCAUUCUCUUCAUUCCAACCAGGGCUCAUUAGUCAUCCAUGGCCUUGGGCGUGGCCCUAGUCAGGGCCUAAUUUAUUUUCCCACCAUAUCUGACUUAUGCACCUUGCUUCUUCCUCUUAAUAGAUUCUUAUUUUCUUUUCUAUGGCAGUUUCUUCUUUGGGUGUAGGUGUCGGUUAUGUCGGUGCUUUGCUCUGCCGGAGGCUACACUUUUUCUUCGACUGGAUUCAAUCUUUCAUAAUAGAUCUGGUAGUGGUUGGUUGGUGUUAUACCUAUUUUUUGGAUUGUUUAAUGAAAUGUCAAAUUAAAUGCCACGUGGCAUAGAUAAUAAAUUCUUGCAAUAAAUACAUUGUGGGACAGGUUGAAAAAACUCAGAACUCAACCUAUGAGGUGACCUCAUCUAAAUAUAAGGAUCACAAGUUUGUGAAGUGAGGUAUUUCAGCAUUUUUGGGAUGUUAUUUUGGUAAAAAAAAUUCAAAAUCUCUCGUAAUACAUACUUAGUGAUGCAUCUCCUCGUAUUAUACAACAGUGAUGAAUCACUUCGUAAUAAAUAGUUAAUGAUGAAUCACCUCAUAUUACACAGCAGUGAUAAAUCACCUCGUAAUACAAAGCAGUGAUGAAUCACCUCGUAAUACACAACCAAUGAUGAACCACCUCAUAAUACACAUUUAGUGAUGCAUUAUCUCGUAAUACACAAUUAUUAAUGUUUUGCCUCGUAAUACAUAAAGUUAUGUUCUUGUUUAUGUCGAAAAUAAGAACAUGUGCCCCAUGUUCAUAGCGGACAUGCGUUGGGAUUUAUGCCCUAAAAGUAAGUAUUUAAUGGAUAAUAUAUUAAAGAAUAUAUAAAAUAAAAUAAUAAGAUAAAUGAGUACAUUAAUUGUAGCAUCUCGCGUAGAUACACAUAGUAAGUUCUAACAUUACAGAAGAAUACAAGGAGUAUCUUAGAUGUAAUACCUCGGCAAAGAAACUGCCUUGAAGAUAGACGCGAAAAGCGAUUACCAGUAUAUGUUGCGAGGCAUAGAAACUUAGUCAGCAUAACUAUUUUAGAUAAAGACAAUAACAGUUAUAGAAGCUAUUUAUCUAUCCCAUGUGCUGUAAAUAUGAAAUGUGAGCAUUGUCAUGUUUCAUAAAUGUCUUUCCCAAAAUGUGACUUCCACUAGCGGUGGUUGUAGUAUAGAUCGGGCGGUCGAUUCCACAGGGAGGUGAUUAUGGACAAAAGCGUUAGUAGAAAAAUAAAAAUAAAAAGUUAAUAAUAAGUGAUAAUAGUAACCAAUGAUUUUGUGAUUUUUAAUUUGAUAAUAAAUAUUAAAAGAAAGCAAAUAAAUGUAUAAUCAAUAGUAAAAGAGAGAAAGGCUUCAAGAAUCAUCCAUAUGCUUGUUUAGCUAUUUUGUACCUUUGAUUCACAAAGUUGACACAAUUCAUACAACAUUAAAGUUCAUUAUAUUUUGAGUAUACAAGUUCUUGAAAAUAAAAGAAAUGAUUUAAUCUUAUAUAGAACCUAGAAAUGACAUUAUACAUCAAGCAAUAAUGCAAUAAAAGAUUAAACCUAAAACUAAACAUAAAUAUUAUUUUUACUAAAUGGAAACACAUAGAAAGAGCAUGACUAAUCCUAUAAUCUUUAGUAAAAAUAAUGACAAAGAAAAUAGAAAUAGAGAUGGUGGUGAUAGUGAAGGAAAUGAACAUUAAUAUUACUUUUCUUAAUUUUUAAGCACAUAGGAAGAACAUGACUAAACCUAUAUGUUUAAUAAAAAGUAAAUGAAAAUGAACAUAAAAGAUAGAACAAGAUAAAUACUACUAUUACUACAAUCACUAAAUAAAAAUAUAUAGAGAGAGCAUGACUAGGUCUAUAUAUAUAUUUAGUAUAUAAUAGCAUAUAUAGUAGUAUAGAUGGAUGAAGAACAAGAAAAUAAAAGUGAAAUAAAAACUUACAUUACUCAAAUAAAUAUUACAUGUGAAUCAAAGAUACAAAAUAACCUCACUUUGCAUAUGGAAUCAUCCCUAACCUUCCAAGGAAGAUUAGGCUAUUAUGCUAAUCAUUCUCAUAAAAUUUCUAAAGAGAAAAUAUGAGAGAAUUUUGCUAUAGUUUUUCUACACUAAAAAUUACAC